RNAcentral lists this long non-coding RNA (447 nucleotides) under Dromaius novaehollandiae (emu). RNAcentral's name for it is "lncRNA (ENSDNVG00000003829.1)". The record is from RNAcentral. Lineage: Eukaryota; Metazoa; Chordata; Aves; Casuariiformes; Dromaiidae.
UUGGUAAAUUACCUGGUUUGUAGUUUCAGGUUUUUGCUUGAUGCUUCUGCCGAGAGAUUGUUCAGUCCUUUAAAGCUGUUUGCACAUCUGAGCUUAAAAGUUGCCUUUCUUUGCUACAGACAAACGCAGUAUCCAACAGAACCGUUGCUAAGUCCUCUUCGGAUGACUUCUGUCUCUGUACUUAUACUGCGCUGCCUCUGGAUCCUUCAUGCAAAUGGCUGUGAGAUUACUGGCUGUUAACGGRAUCCUGCAAUGUAGCAGCACUGAAGAUCAGAAUCCCAUUAUGGGAUGGUCCUAGGAUCCCGCAGCACAGCACAACAUCAGGAGUAAACUUCAUGAUGUUUUUUGGGUGAGCUGGUUGGCUUUGAGCUUCCCUMGCGUUGGCAUGGCUCCCUGGAAGUCACUGAUCACCAGACAGCGCAGGAGGACAAUUGCAUUAACCACGUG